GAGUUAAGGGUCUCCGGCCCGAACCUCCAACCCUCUGUCGUUAUAACUACCUCGUUGCUUUGGCGGGACCGCGAAGGUUCUCCCGAGCGCGCCAGUCUUCGGACAGGCGAGCGCCCGCCAGAGUCCAACCAAACUCUUGUUUUAAACCAGUCGUCUGAGUAUAAAAUUUUAAUAUAAUUAAAACUUUCAACAACGGAUCUCUUGGUUCU
RNAcentral lists this unclassified non-coding RNA (209 nucleotides) under rhizosphere metagenome. RNAcentral describes it as "partial ribosomal RNA internal transcribed spacer region". The record is from RNAcentral.